GGCCGGAGUUCUGCAGCUUUAAUCUGGGUAACUGAGGCUGGUUUGAGCAAGACUUUGGUUAAUUAACUAGGUUCUCAGAUGCCACAGACUCCGUGAAAAGUCACCAUUAUUUUCAAUGGUUGUGAUAGAAUUUCCCUCAGUAGCCAUUAUUUUAAGAUUAUAUUGCAGAGUUGCUUUAUUUGAACUUUUUGUGUAUACACAAUCCCAAACUGGAAGAUUAAAGAAUGUAAACAUUAAUGUUUCCUUAUGGGAAAACAAAUAAAGUAUAAAGAAGACAAUUCUUUUCAUUAAAAUAUACUGUGUAUUUACACUUGCUAGACCCAGCACCACUUAUAAAUUUAGUACACUGUUCAAAAUUUUAGUUAACACAGCUGACAUGGUUGUGCUCUGAAAGCCUAAGAGUAGGUAUUGUUGGAAUAUGAACAGUUUGUGUUUGUCUGCUGUGAAUCAUAAUCUUGAAAUUUCUAAUCAAGUUUGUAAAAUUUUUAUAGUAAAACAUUUUAAUGACAAUUUAAAAAUUUAUCUUCUCUAAAGAAUGGUCAAAACAAUAUCCUUUCAGAAAUAGAAUUGUUCUUUAAUAUCUUUCCAAAAUGACUUUGGUUAAAUGGACCA
Molecule: long non-coding RNA, 612 nt
Filed under: Bos taurus (domestic cattle)
Lineage: Eukaryota; Metazoa; Chordata; Mammalia; Artiodactyla; Bovidae
Description: long non-coding RNA NONBTAT023350
Source: RNAcentral